RNAcentral lists this ribosomal RNA (497 nucleotides) under uncultured bacterium. RNAcentral describes it as "partial 16S ribosomal RNA". It matches the Rfam family "Bacterial small subunit ribosomal RNA", at positions 28 to 507 of the family's 1533-position model. The record is from RNAcentral.
GAUGAACGCUGGCGGCGUGCCUAAUACAUGCAAGUCGAGCGAACGGACGAGAAGCUUGCUUUUCUGAUGUUAGCGGCGGACGGGUGGGUAACACGUGGAUAACCUACCUAUAAGACUGGGAUAACUUCGGGAAACCGGAGCUAAUACCGGAUAAUAUUUUGAACCGCAUGGUUCAUAAGUGAAAGACGGUCUUGCUGUCACUUAUAGAUGGAUCCGCGCUGCAUUAGCUAGUUGGUAAGGUAACGGCUUACCAAGGCAACGAUGCAUAGCCGACCUGAGAGGAUGAUCGGCCACACUGGAACUGAGACACGGUCCAGACUCCUACGGGAGGCAGCAGUAGGGAAUCUUCCGCAAUGGGCGAAAGCCUGACGGAGCAACGCCGCGUGAGUGAUGAAGGUCUUCGGAUCGUAAAACUCUGUUAUUAGGGAAGAACAUAUGUGUAAGUAACUGUGCACAUCUUGACGGUACCUAAUCAGAAAGCCACGGCUAACUACGUG